This 1064-nucleotide ribosomal RNA is filed under the name uncultured Vibrio sp. RNAcentral's name for it is "bacterial SSU rRNA". It matches the Rfam family "Bacterial small subunit ribosomal RNA", at positions 30 to 1063 of the family's 1533-position model. The record is from RNAcentral. Lineage: Bacteria; Pseudomonadati; Pseudomonadota; Gammaproteobacteria; Vibrionales; Vibrionaceae.
UAACCGGCGGACAGGCCUAACACACGCAAGUCGAGCGGAAACGAGUUAUCUUGAACCUUCGGGGAACGAUAACGGCGUCGAGCGGCGGACGGGUGAGUAAUGCCUAGGAAAUUGCCCUGAUGUGGGGAUAACCAUUGGAAACGAUGGCUAAUACCGCAUGAUGCCUACGGGCCAAAGAGGGGGACCUUCGGGCCUCUCGCGUCAGGAUAUGCCUAGGUGGGAUUAGCUAGUUGGUGAGGUAAUGGCUCACCAAGGCGACGAUCCCUAGCUGGUCUGAGAGGAUGAUCAGCCACACUGGAACUGAGACACGGUCCAGACUCCUACGGGAGGCAGCAGUGGGGAAUAUUGCACAAUGGGCGCAAGCCUGAUGCAGCCAAGCCGCGUGUGUGAAGAAGGCCUUCGGGUUGUAAAGCACUUUCAGUCGUGAGGAAGGUGGUGUAGUUAAUAGCUGCAUUACUUGACGUUAGCGACAGAAGAAGCACCGGCUAACUCCGUGCCAGCAGCCGCGGUAAUACGGAGGGUGCGAGCGUUAAUCGGAAUUACUGGGCGUAAAGCGCAUGCAGGUGGUUUGUUAAGUCAGAUGUGAAAGCCCGGGGCUCAACCUCGGAAUAGCAUUUGAAACUGGGCAGACUAGAGUACUGUAGAGGGGGGUAGAAUUUCAGGUGUAGCGGUGAAAUGCGUAGAGAUCUGAAGGAAUACCGGUGGCGAAGGCGGCCCCCUGGACAGAUACUGACACUCAGAUGCGAAAGCGUGGGGGAGCAAACAGGAUUAGAUUACCCUGUUUAAUUCCACCGCCGUAAACGAUGUCCUACUUGGAGGGUUUGUGGCCUUGAACCCGUGUCUUUCGGAGACUUAACGCGUUAAUUAAACCGCCUUGGGAGUACGGUCGCAAGAUUAAAACUCAAAUGAAUUGACGGGGGCCCGCACAAGCGGUGGAGCAUGUGGUUUAAUUCGAUGCUACGCGAAGAACCUUACCUACUCUUGACAUCCAGAGAACUUUCCGGAGAUGGAUUGGUGCCUUCGGGAACUCUGAGACAGGUGCUGCAUGGCUGUCGUCAGCUCGU